Molecule: transfer RNA, 82 nt
Filed under: Ignavibacteria bacterium
Lineage: Bacteria; Pseudomonadati; Ignavibacteriota; Ignavibacteria
Description: tRNA-Leu
Rfam family: tRNA
About the family: Transfer RNA (tRNA) molecules are approximately 80 nucleotides in length. Their secondary structure includes four short double-helical elements and three loops (D, anti-codon, and T loops). Further hydrogen bonds mediate the characteristic L-shaped molecular structure. tRNAs have two regions of fundamental functional importance: the anti-codon, which is responsible for specific mRNA codon recognition, and the 3' end, to which the tRNAs corresponding amino acid is attached (by aminoacyl-tRNA synthetases). tRNAs cope with the degeneracy of the genetic code in two manners: having more than one tRNA (with a specific anti-codon) for a particular amino acid; and 'wobble' base-pairing, i.e. permitting non-standard base-pairing at the 3rd anti-codon position.
Source: RNAcentral
GCGGAUGUGGCGAAAUUGGCAGACGCGCUAGACUUAGGAUCUAGUGGGGAGACCCGUAGGAGUUCAAGUCUCCUCAUCCGUA